This 612-nucleotide ribosomal RNA is filed under the name Triticum aestivum (bread wheat). Its description in RNAcentral is "partial small subunit ribosomal RNA". The record is from RNAcentral. Lineage: Eukaryota; Viridiplantae; Streptophyta; Magnoliopsida; Poales; Poaceae.
AUGCGCGACACGGACAUGGAUGAGGAGGCCGCCUACCAGGCGGUGCUGGCGGUUGCCAUGCAAGAAAGCGAAGAGGACGAGCGGAGCGAGGUGGAGGAGGAGGAGGCGGCGUACCAGGCACGCCUGUCAGAGGCCAUCACACUCUCCGCUUCCAGCAACUGCGUCGUGCCGCCGUUGAUGUCGCCGCCCCCCAUCAAGCCCGAGCUGGCGCCGUCCCCUAUGCCGGCGCCCCAGCGGUACACCUGGCAAGGAAUGGUGCACAAGUGGGUCAACGCGCCAUCCAUCUGGCUUGGGGCAACGCUGACGCAAGAGAAGCUCUACCUCGAGCAAUGGCGGACACGCUGGCUAGCGGAGGAGCGCCUGGAGCAGUGGGAGCGCAACGCGGAGGAGGAGCGCCUGGAGCAGUGGGAGGAGGAGCGCCGGACCCGCGCUGCCCAACCGGCAACGGUCACGCCGGCGCCGGAGGACGUCGCCACAGCCUGGGAGAUGGCAUUCCCCUGGGUUGCUCGGCGCCGACGCUCGUCGACCUCACCAGCCCCGAAGCUACGACGAGGAUGCCUAGGGCAGCGUGUCUCCUCCUCGUUUUUAGUUUUAUUAAAUGUUUUUAAUUAA